GGUCGCAAUUAACUAAUCAAAUUGAGUGAAUUUACUUUAAUUUCUUUUGUAAUUUUAAUUGUGAACAAUAUCUAAUGGUGUAGGAACAAUAAUUCAAGUUCUUUCUUUUUUAUUUAGACUCAAAGAGUACGAGUUUUUUUUUGUUCUACUCGAAAUGUUUUGUUUAUGUUUGUAAUUGAUUCCAAAUUAAAUGGAUUUCCGAUUUUCUAAUUGAUGCCUUAUAAUAAACCAUUUUGGCUACAAGUUGAAUAGUUGUUGAUCCAAUCUCAUUUAUCUUGAAAAUCUUCAACCUAAUUUUUUGUUAAUCGCUUAUAAUUCAUGGAUGGUACAUUCGUUUUGGGCUAAUUGUCCGAUUUUCUCUAUUCAGAAAAGAAAACAAUUUGUAUCCAUUCGUGAUGACAAAAUCUGAUUAAUGUUUUUCGAAUCUCAAUUGGGAGAAUAUGUGAGAGACAAGUGAAACUUGAUCAUUGAAACAUUCGCUAAUCUAGUCACUUAAAUUUCAAUUUUCAUUCUUCUUCUUUCCAUUAAAUGUACGAAAUAAUCUCCUGAAAA
Molecule: long non-coding RNA, 552 nt
Organism: Panonychus citri (citrus red mite)
Lineage: Eukaryota; Metazoa; Arthropoda; Arachnida; Trombidiformes; Tetranychidae
Exons: 2
Source: RefSeq, a predicted model, not a curated record